Molecule: long non-coding RNA, 2055 nt
Filed under: Mytilus galloprovincialis (Mediterranean mussel)
Lineage: Eukaryota; Metazoa; Mollusca; Bivalvia; Mytilida; Mytilidae
Source: RNAcentral
ACAGGAUAGAUGAGCUUUCAUUUGAUAAGCGACAACGCCAUGUUCUAGAAAGUUUGAUUUUUGCACUUAAUAACCCUAUCCAACUAAUUUUUGGAGGUCGAGAUUUGAUAUUUCCAAUGUACACAUCAUGACCUUUCAUUUAAUAUACAACAACCCAAUUGUAAAAGAUUUUUUUUUGCACUCAAUGACCCCAUCCAACCAAUUUUCGGGGGACGUGAAUUUGAAAUUUGAAAUGUACGCUUUAUGUUCUUUCAUUUGAUAUGCGACAACCUUACCAUCUGAAAAAUUUGAAUGUUUGCACUAAAUGACCACACCCUUCCCCCUGGGAUGAAAAAGAGGUUUAAAAUUUUCAUUUUUAAGCAGAGUUUAUUGAGACCUUCAAUUUGAUAUAUCAGUUGACCCCAUUUGGCAAAGUGUCAAAAAUGAUGCAAUAUCAACGAUAUAAAUAGAAGUUAUGAAACUUACAAAGUUAAUGCAAAACAUGAAAAUUUCAAAAUGAUUUUUUUUGGUGUUUUUUCCCAUGGAAUGUUUUUGGUAUUUGGUCAAACAUAUAACUAUGCCAACCUCUUCAAUUUCUUAAACAUUUUAAGUGGUAAGCUGUUGUUGAUUCAGAAAUACAUGCCGCCGCUCACAAAAUUUCAAACUGCAUUAUCUCUAAAACGACAGCAGAUAUCUCAAAUCUGUUAAAUGGUAAAUGAUCUACAGUUAAAGGACAACAUCAUAAAAAAAGAAUUGGGACAAUUUCAAUGUUCACCAAGGUCACAAUUAAUCAUCAAAUAUAUGAUGCAAUACCAAACUUGAGAACCGGAAGUCGUAGAGACAUGGGACUAUCACCAUUCAACUCAAGACCACUUGACCUUUCAAAUAUCACAAGGUCAAGGUCAUAGUAUAAUGUGAAGGUCAAGGUGAAAUUUCAUCAUGACCUGACAUUGACCUCAAAUUGAAGGUCUUGAAUUACUGAUCAUCUUUUCAGUUUAUAGUAGGUUGAUAUCUGUUACCUUUAAAAAGAUAUACAUAAAAUACUAUACUUUUAAGAAUCAUCCCGUUGUAACUUUUGAACAGACGGUCGGACAUUUUUGGGCUUAUUAUAUAAAAUGUAGAGUUCGUCGAGAGGAACAUUUUAUACGCUGUAUGUAGGCAGCAAAGUCUUAUCGUUUUCCUAAUAUGUAAGCUUGAAAUUGCAGCGUAAUUUUUUUUUGCACUCUGUGACCUUUGACUUUGGGUGCAUAUUGAAGGUCACAUGAAUUAAAGAUUAUUGGUGAAGGUCCCAAGUCUCUACGACUUCCAGUUCUCGAAAUAGAUUUUUUCUAAUUGUAUACAAUUUUUCAAGGGGAAUAACUCCUUAUAAGGGUUAAUAACAAAAUGAUUGUAUAUGUUCAUUAACAUUGCCAUCUGUUCCUGUACAUGUUGCCGUUUUCAAAUCGAUUCUAUCUCUAACAUUUUUUGAGAAAUGAGCAAAGGAAAGAAAUUGUUUCAAGGGGAAAUAACUCUCAAAGGGGAUGAUGAAAUUCUAUGCAGCCUCAUAUGGUAAUACAUCAUUAUGAGAUGUACCUAUUGUCCAAAUAAGAUCAUGAUAUCUUUAAAAAGAACGAGGGGGGCCAUGUUGAAAAAAAUCAAUAAAAGGGAGAUAACUUCUAAAGGGGAUGAUGAAAUCCUACACAGCCUCAUCUGGUAAUACUUCAUAAUGAGGUCUACCGAUGGUCCAUAUUUGGUUUUAAUAACUCCAAUAGAAACGAGGGGAGGCCAUGUCAAACAAAUGCUGGAUGAAAAAAAAAAAAAAAAAAAAACUAGUAUCUCAAUUGUUUGUAAAACAAUUGAAAGGUCUUUCCUGUAAAAGUGAUGUUUUCGUAAUGUUCUUUGUAUGACCUUUCGUUUGAUAUACGACAACAAUACCUUCUGAAACUUUUCGCUUUUUACACUUAAUGACCCCAUCCGCCUACAUUUUUGGGAUCGGAAGUAUGAUAUAUGUAACACAGGGUAGAUGAGCUUUCAUUUGAUAUGCGACAACGCCAUGUUCUAAAAAGUUUGAUUUUUGUACUUAAUAACCCCAUCCAA